This 510-nucleotide ribosomal RNA is filed under the name uncultured bacterium. Its description in RNAcentral is "bacterial SSU rRNA". It matches the Rfam family "Bacterial small subunit ribosomal RNA", at positions 791 to 1310 of the family's 1533-position model. The record is from RNAcentral.
UAGUCCACGCCGUAAACGAUGGACACUAGUUGUUGGGCAUAAGUUCAGUGACUAAGCGAAAGUGAUAAGUGUCCCACCUGGGGAGUACGGUCGCAGGAUUGAAACUCAAAGGAAUUGACGGGGGCCCGCACAAGCGGUGGAGCAUGUGGUUUAAUUCGAUGAUACGCGAGGAACCUUACCAGGGCUUAAAUGUAAGUUGCAUUAGACAGAGAUGUUUAUUUCUUCGGACUACUUACAAGGUGCUGCAUGGUUGUCGUCAGCUCGUGCCGUGAGGUGUCAGGUUAAGUCCUAUAACGAGCGCAACCCCUAUUUUUAGUUGCUAACAGGUUAAGCUGAGGACUCUAGAGAGACUGCCGGUGCAAACCGUGAGGAAGGUGGGGAUGACGUCAAAUCAUCACGGCCCUUACGUCCUGGGCUACACACGUGCUACAAUGGUAAUGACAGAGGGCAGCUACCUGGCGACAGGAUGCGAAUCUUUAAACNUUAUCACAGUUCGGAUUGGAUCUGCAA